GCCGCAGGCAUGGAGGGACACGGGGCUUGGGGUCGUGGGGUCGGGCCGACGAUGUCGGAGCCAGCAGGGUCAAGGUGGCCAUAAGCAUAGAGGGAUGCAGGCUUAGGGCCGUGGGAUAUUGGAGGGACAGGAUGGGGAGGGAUGGGGUGUUUGGGCACCAGCGAGAGGAUGAGUCACUGAUGAGAGGACCGGACGUUUGGGCACCGACGAUAGGAGAGGAUGAGGGAAGAGGAGGGA
RNAcentral lists this long non-coding RNA (237 nucleotides) under Elaeis guineensis (African oil palm). RNAcentral describes it as "long non-coding RNA (EGUI_LNC041023)". Lineage: Eukaryota; Viridiplantae; Streptophyta; Magnoliopsida; Arecales; Arecaceae. The record is from RNAcentral.